Phoenix dactylifera (date palm) is the source of this 2737-nucleotide non-coding RNA. Lineage: Eukaryota; Viridiplantae; Streptophyta; Magnoliopsida; Arecales; Arecaceae. The record is from RefSeq and is a predicted model, not a curated record.
GAGUGAGAAGAGAGAGAAGCUCUGAAGGUGAAAGCCUAAGAAGGAGUUCUUGAGCUAUGAAUGUCCAUUUUCUUCCUUCUUCUCCCUUUCAGCCAACCUUCUGCCUCCCUGCGAGCUAGCACUCCCCAGGAAGCUGAUCAUUUCGGAGCUUCGCGUGGACGAAUCAUCGAGGCCGGAUGCUUGUGCGACUGCGAAGCAUCCUUGAAGGAACCUCCUUCUAAAGGUAAGAGAUCUGAUCUCUUUUAUGGUUGAGAUAUGAUCUCAAUCUUCAAAUCACAAGAAGUUGUGUUUUAUGCAUAUUUAUUGGAAUCACAUAAUCCUCGGAAUCUGAGGGCUUUGUGAUAUUUGGUGUCAAAGCAAAGGAUUAGUGGAAACUAUUCGAUUUUUGAGAACUCUCACGCGUGAUCGUGUGACGAAGCAUGGCUCUCCACCCGGGGGCUCAUAUGAUGAGUGCUUUGAUAGGCACGCGCAGGUGUCACCCUAUGUAUCGGGACUGAGCCCGCGCCACAUAUGAUGUGCAAUUGAAGACUGUCUUCGACUGGUACCAGAGUCAAAAUAUCUAAAAUAUCAAGCAUAUUUUGGGUUAAAAUGUAAAUCCAUUCUUUCCGCAUAAAAGGUUAAUUGUGUCUGCUCAACUAUGCGAAGUGGAAUGAUAUGCUUCCUUCAUAUAAAGUUGAGCUUCUUAGAGCUGUACAGAGUAAGUUUGUGCUCCCUGUAGAAAGCCAUAACUGGGUGCUAAAGUCCCUCAACAGCAAAUGGAAAGAAUAUAAGGGGAAGUUGAAGAUGGACUACAAGGGCGAGGGUAUGACAUAGGAGAAGGUUGUUCGUAAUUGUCCUCCUGAUAUAUACCCUUAUUAGUAGAGGGAGCUUAUUCACUACUGGUUUUCUGAGAGAGGACAUGUUGUGUAUACUCUCUCAAUAUUUUGGCAAACAUAUUCCGACAUUGGUAGAGCUGCACGAGCAUCUCAGAUAGUUCCUUACACUUCAGGUUCGAAGAGUUAUGUGAGGUGUAGAGAUGAAUUUAUGGAAGAGAAUGGCAGAAAGCAUGGUGAGGUAGAGUUCUACAGAAUGAUUGACACCCACCGAGAUGGCAGCUUUGUCCAGAAGGAGUUGAGAGAUAUAGUUGACAGAACUACAUCCUUUAUUUCAAUGUGUCAAAGAGUCAUUAUCAUCUAGCGAGCCAGUCGCAUCGAAGCUCAGGUGUUUGCCAAAUUGAUGGGCCCAGAGUGUUAUGGUUGAGUGAGGGGUUAUGGCGUUUACCUCCACUUAAUUAUCUGUAGCGAGUAGAUAUAUCUAGAUGUCAGACAAAGUAGUAGCAUUGCAGAGGUUUGUAGUCUGAAGAUAGCGAUGGAGAAAAUUAGGCAGAGCCAUCAGACAGAGAUGGAGGAGAUGAGGCGCAGCCAUAAAACAGAGAUACAAUCUUUGAGAGCUUAGUUUGACAAGAUUGUAUCUAUGUUGCAUAGAUUUGUCCCUCCUUAGGUAAAUAACUAUAUCUAUUUGAAUAUUUUACAUAAUUUUUAUGUAUUUUUGUAUGAGCUUAAUAAUUUUCGUAUUUUUAACUUCUAUAGUUUCUAUCUUUUUUUUGUAGAUGCAUGAUACUUUCUCUACUCGUAGAGAUGAUGAUGAUGAUGAUGCCAUCGACCCAUGAUAGCUCUUAGAUUAUUUAUUUAUAAGUUUGAUAUGUAUAUUAUUUUAUGUUUUUCGAAGCAAAUUAUAAAUAUAAAUUGACAAGGUAAAUGUAAUCAUAUUUGACAAUUUGAAUAUUUUGAAUGAUCUGUUUGACUGUGACAUGUGUUAUUAUAUGACUUUUGUUGUGUAUGUAUUUAGUGUAUAUAAAUAUAUACAGAGUUUUAAAAUUUUUUAAAUAAUCUUUUUUUAUAAAAAAAAAUAACUCUUACGAUUCUUUAAAGCGUCAUUAAAAUAUAUAUUAGCGAUGCUUCUUAACAUCAUUAAUUAAAAAUGCAAAUAAGCAUUGUUGAUAUAAGAAGCUUCAUCGCCGACGCUUUUAAAAAGCGUCGGCGAUCAGCGACGCUUAUAAGCAUCGGCGUCUUUUAUAAUUACCAACGCUUUUGACAGUAACAUAGCCGACGCUUUUGCAAUGCUUUAGAAAGCGUCAGAAAUAAAACUACCGACGCAAAAAAGUGUCGACAAUGCUUGAUUUUUCUGUAGUAAAACACUUCCUCCAUAUGGUUGUAGGCUCAAGUGUGGCGUAUCCAAAGGAAAACAACAAGUUUCUGGGCUGUAACAAUAUUGGAGUCGACUCCUGGAGACUUGGAGUCGACUUCGGCAUGCUGUGAAGACUUGGCACGGUGCAGGGGUCGACCCCAGAACUUCAGGGGUCAACUCCUUAAGAGCGAUAGAAAAAAGUCCGAGAGCUGUUUUCUGGGACAGCUUCAGGGGUCGACCCCAGGACAGCAGGGGUCGACCCCAGGACAGCAGGAGUCGACCCGAGCACUGUUUUCAUGGAAUUUUCAGGCGUGAAGCGAGCCAAGUCAAGGUUUUUCAAGUCUCAAAGGGUCUAAGUCAUUCUUAGGCUAGGUUUAGGCUCAAAGGGGGAGAGCAUGUAAGUCAUGGACUUGGGUUGAGUGCUUCCUAAUGUGGCUUAGGGGGAGAUUGAGUUGGUGUAUGAUUAGACUAAAAUUGGGUGCCUAUAUAAAGGCUUGAUGUAAUCAGUUUUAGGGUUAUCACUUGGAUUAUUGCUUGAGCAAUAAAGGAGCCACCAGAAAACUUUCUCCCA